UUAAAGUAGUAAGGGCGCAGGGUGGAUGCCUUGGCACUAAGAGCCGAUGAAAGACGUGAUAAGCUGCGAAAAGCUUCGGGGAGGAGCACAUAUCCAAUGAUCCGGAGAUAUCUGAAUGGGGAAACCCGGCAGAGGAAACCUCUGUCAGCGUGCAGUGAAUACAUAGCUGUACGUGGGGAACCCGGGGAACUGAAACAUCUAAGUACCCGGAGGAAGAGAAAGAAAAUUUAUCGAUUUCCAAAGUAGCGGCGAGCGAAAUGGAAAGAGCCCAAACCGUGAUGCGUGCAUCGCGGGGUUCGGACUGCGUUGUGGCAGACGUAAGAUAGGAGAACGGACUGGGAAGUCCGGCCGGAGAGAGUGAAAGCCUCGUAUCCGAAAUCCCAAGUCGCCUAGCAGGAUCCAGAGUAGGACGAGACACGAGAAACCUUGUCUGAACGAGCGGGGACCACCCCGUAAGGCUAAAUACUUCUUAGUGACCGAUAGCGCAUAGUACUGUGAAGGAAAGGUGAAAAGUACCCCGGGAGGGGAGUGAAAGAGAACCUGAAACCCUGUGUCUACAAGCUGUGGGACCUCUUUAUAUGAGGGACUGCGUACUUUUUGUAGAACGGUCCGGCGAGUUGUGCGUACUGGCGAGGUUAAGGACUUAAGGUCUGGAGCCGAAGUGAAAGCAAGCGUUAAGAGCGCGUCAAGUCAGUGAGUGCAGACCCGAAACCGGGUGACCUAUCCAUGUCCAGGUUGAAGCUUCCGUAAGAGGAAGUGGAGGACCGAACCCACAUCCGUUGAAAAGGGUGGGGAUGAGGUGUGGAUAGCGGAGAAAUUCCAAUCGAACCCGGAGAUAGCUGGUUCUCCUCGAAAUAGCUUUAGGGCUAGCCUCAUGAGAGUCUUAUGGAGGUAGAGCACUGAAUUGCCUAGGGGGCGUCAAAGCUUACCAAAGCAUAUCAAACUCCGAAUGCCAUCAAGAUGAUUCAUGGGAGUCAGACCAUACGAGAUAAGUUGGAUGGUCAAAAGGGAAAGAGCCCAGACCUACAGCUAAGGUCCCAAAGUGCGUGUUAAGUGGAAAAGGAUGUGGGGAUUCUAAGACAACUAGGACGUUGGCUUAGAAGCAGCCAUUCAUUGAAAGAGUGCGUAAUAGCUCACUAGUCGAGAGUCCCUGCGCCGAAAAUGUCCGGGGCUGAAACACGACACCGAAGCUUAGGAAUGUGUAAACAUUGGUAGAGGAGCAUUGCUGGCGGGAUGAAGCCAUACCGUAAGGAGUGGUGGACUGCCAGGAAGAGAGAAUGCCGGAAUGAGUAGCGAGAUGAAGGUGAGAAUCCUUCAGGCCGAAUAUCUAAGGUUUCCAGAGUAAAGCUGAUCUGCUCUGGGUAAGUCGGGACCUAAGGCGAGGUCGAAAGACGUAGUCGAUGGAUAACAGGUUGAAAUUCCUGUACCGCAUAUAAACAGAACUGUGGGGACACAGACAGGGAAUGGAAUCCGGGAGUGGAAAUCCCGGUGCAAGCGAGGUAGGAGUGCUGUUGGCAAAUCCGCAGCACGAUCUGAAGACGUGACGCGUACCGAACAUAAGUAGGGAAGUCCAGGCCCCUGGCUGUCAAGAAAAGCCGCUAUUGUUUUAUAUGUGCCCGUACCGCAAACCGACACAGGUGGAUGAGGAGAGAAUCCUAAGGCCGACGGGAGAAGUAUUGUUAAGGAACUCGGCAAAAUGACUCCGUAACUUCGGGAGAAGGAGUGCCAUGAGAGUGGCCGCAGAGAAAUGGCCCAAGCAACUGUUUAGCAAAAACACAGGUCUAUGCAAAACCGCAAGGUGAAGUAUAUGGGCUGACGCCUGCCCGGUGCUGGAAGGUUAAGGGGAGAGGUUAGCGCAAGCGAAGCUUUGAACUUAAGCCCCAGUAAACGGCGGCCGUAACUAUAACGGUCCUAAGGUAGCGAAAUUCCUUGUCGGGUAAGUUCCGACCC
Molecule: ribosomal RNA, 1950 nt
Filed under: human gut metagenome
Description: bacterial LSU rRNA
Rfam family: Bacterial large subunit ribosomal RNA
Source: RNAcentral